AUGAACGCUGGCGGCGUGCCUAAUACAUGCAAGUCGAGCGCACAGACGAGGGGCUUGCUCCUCUGACGUUAGCGGCGGACGGGUGAGUAACACGUGGAUAACCUACCUAUAAGACUGGGAUAACUUCGGGAAACCGGAGCUAAUACCGGAUAAUAUAUUGAACCGCAUGGUUCAAUAGUGAAAGACGGUUUUGCUGUCACUUAUAGAUGGAUCCGCGCCGCAUUAGCUAGUUGGUAAGGUAACGGCUUACCAAGGCAACGAUGCGUAGCCGACCUGAGAGGGUGAUCGGCCACACUGGAACUGAGACACGGUCCAGACUCCUACGGGAGGCAGCAGUAGGGAAUCUUCCGCAAUGGGCGAAAGCCUGACGGAGCAACGCCGCGUGAGUGAUGAAGGUCUUCGGAUCGUAAAACUCUGUUAUUAGGGAAGAACAAAUGUGUAAGUAACUAUGCACGUCUUGACGGUACCUAAUCAGAAAGCCACGGCUAACUACGUG
RNAcentral lists this ribosomal RNA (496 nucleotides) under uncultured bacterium. RNAcentral describes it as "partial 16S ribosomal RNA". It matches the Rfam family "Bacterial small subunit ribosomal RNA", at positions 29 to 507 of the family's 1533-position model. The record is from RNAcentral.